GUCAAAGCUGCAGCUGGGAUUGAUCCUGCAAGCGCUGUUCCCGUGAGCCUGAACAUCGCUGCAUGGCACGUGCUCAGGCUGUAAAACAAGUCAUCCAGCUACACUUCACAAGGGAGUUCACGGCCUAAAAAAGGACUGUUGUGCUGCAUGUACAAGAGAUACAGGCCUAGCAGCUGGGAAGUGUGGUAAAGGGCUCAGCUGUGAGAAUCGCACAAUGGCAGCCCGAGGACAUUGCAUGUAUGUGCAACCGUGGCGUCUGAUGGCUUUCAGACAUGAACUUGGAAUCCAGUUGUCCAGAGAUUCAUUGUUCCAGCCCAGCAAUACCCAGCACAUCAGAAAAAAAAGAAAAAGAAAAAGAAAAAGAAAAAGAAAAAGAAAAAGAAAAAGAAAAAGAAAAAGAAAAAGAAAAAGAAAAAGAAAAAGAAAAAGAAAAAGAAAAAGAAAAAGAAAAAGAAAAAGAAAAAGAAAAAGAAAAAGAAAAAGAAAAAGAAAAAGAAAAAGAAAAAGAAAAAGAAAAAGAAAAAGAAAGAAAGAUACCUAAAAGACAGAACAAAAUAGCCCAGAAGCAAAUGAGUGAUCCGGACCAUAAUCUGGGUAAUGUGCAAAAUAUGUUAUCUAAUAGAUUGCACUUACCCAGACUUCCACAGAAUCUACUCCAGAACAGACUGUUCUCUGUCAUCAUAUGCCAUCAGUGAAAAGGACGGGAUUUCUGAAAGACCAGAUGUGAUAAUUAAGGUUUGUAUGUUAUUCAAGAAUCUUCCAUGUUUAUUUUUUUUUAAUCUACUAUCUAACUAGGUAGAUCUCUGCCUUGCUAAAAGGGAAGCAAUUUGGAAAGGAAGUGUAUUGGGGACUUAGGGCUUAAAAAGUCAAAGGUGAUACAGUUUGGUGGAAAAACUGUCACACUAAUUUUUUUACUGAGGAAGUCAGCUAUGAGGAACUGAAGUAAUUGUCCAAUUUGGCUUUUGAAGUAAUGAGAGUGCAUCUGAACUUGUACAAGAGCCAUUAUACUAUAGAAUGAGUUCUUACUCCAGGUGAAGUUGUGUGAAUACUUUCCCAGGGGCUUCACAAAACACUACUUGAAUAUUUUUUAAAGUAGCUUUUUCUGAAGAACAGUAUUGUCUGGAUAACUGCAGCAUAUGAAUUAAGUUGAAACUUCUCUUGAUAAUUAACUCAAGAACUCCAGAUCCAGUGACACAGCUAAACACUUAAACUUCUGUCACUGUUUUACGUGUCCCUGAAACAGACUUUUAACUGUUCCACCUCAGCUUGUGCUUCAAGGAAUGCCACACUCUUGGGGUUGUUUUUUUUUUCACCUACAAUCUUAUCUUUAGACUUUUUAAUUACUGACUUUGUUUUUAAGCUAUUUCUUUCAGCACCCUGGGUUCCUUUCAGGCAGCCGACCAAACCUCUUGCACCCUGGAAAGGGAAGGUCAUGCAAUUCUUUAUUUGCUGAAAUACAAUCACAGUGCAAACUCCUUGUGAAAGAGCUGGCUGUUCCCAAUCAAUCUCUGCUGGCCUUUCAUAACGACAAAGAUUGAACUCCACUUAUUGUUACACUUGAUUGUAAAUCUUUUCAAUCUUUUCUUCUUUUGACUGAAUAUAUAAACCCAGGUUCACCGUAGGAAAAGAUAACCCUUGUUUUCAAUGGGGCUUUCACACUGACAGCCCAGGCGAGAUGGGCAUCUUCUGAGAUACUUACUUUCCAGAGGAAAUUAUUAAGCUGUCAGCUGCCUUGAGCCAAGGGAUCUUUGGGUCAAAGCCCAUGGAAGCACAUAGCAAAUCAGUUUGUCUUUCUCUGCACUCACAAAUACUCCUUUCUAUAUCUACCAAUACAAAGGAAUGCACCCUCCUAGAAUGUGUGAGUGUGCACUAGCAGGUUGGCCAACUACAGAGUUCUCGGGGAACUAACUGGAAAUCCUUCUGUAGAUGCAUUGGAAUUUUGUUCUUUCCACCACUCAGUAAAGCUGGUUGUCUUACAGCUUUGAGUACAGCGGUUAAAUGCAGCCAGAAAGGAAUCUGUAACAAGUUUCUGGCAUGGAGCACAGUUUGCUGUACAAAGCCUCCAGUGCUGCUGAGUUCAGCAGUACUGUGGUCAGUAAGUAAGGACAUAGCAGAGAUCACCAUUUGCUUCUGAAAUGCAAUAGGAGCAGAAGAAAUGGAGGGACAGCCAGGAUCGUCGGGGAUCAUCCUGAAAGAAGCCUGACUACAGUUAAGCUUCAGUGACUGGCAUGGAUCGUGUGCCCGUGCGUAACUGCCUACAUACAAAGAAGUGCAGAUCGAGGUUUCUUCUACAACAGCCUAAGGAUGCAGUGGCUGAGGUCCCAUCACAGUCACCCCUUCCUGAAGUUAAGAAAACACCUUGUGUCCAAGUUAACAUGGGAUAUGGUCAGGAUGGUAAUUUGAAAGAGUUUCUAAAAGAAGCCGACAGUGGCUCUGAGUCCCCCACCUUUGAAGGCUUUGAUUUAUAUCUAAUACUACUGCAACCAAUACCUACCAUUCCUAAAGAAGGCCAGAAAGAGGUGGUAGGAACUGUAAGAUGCAAUACAUGUAAGAUAAAGUCAGGAAAACAAUUUCCUUUCUUUGUGACAGCAAGUGGCAUUUCCUCUGAACUCAGAAAUAUUUUUGUCUUUUAAAGCAAAUUAGAUAAAUAUUAUUCGUCUUUCUUUUCCUUGACUCAUUUCUGGUGCUCCUAUCUCCAAAUUUCUUACACUCAAACUUUUCUUUCUGCUCCCCUCCAAUCUCUAAUUUAUAUUUCUAAUCCCUUCUUAGAAACCUCAUUCUGACUGUUUGAUAUUAUAGAAGACUUUGCUAAACAUAAAUUCUGUUAAAUUGGUGGUCUGCUGCCAGCUUUCUGCAGAGAUCUCACAUAGUACAUUAACAAUGCAGAUUAUGUAGCGGUUGCUUUGCUUAAUUGCUUUCUUCCUGCCUACUGUCUGUAGAAGGGACCUCAGUUUCCCUUAAAGUAAUUCUUUCCUUACCAGAGUCACCUUUGUUCCCUGUGAGGAUCCCUCUGUAGUGUAAGCAUCUCCUAAGUAUAACAGCUGUGGCUCUCUGGAAGCUCCCUGAGCACAGCACUUGGCUGAGACACGCUGCCUGGAAGGGGACAGGGUGGGACAGGCAAUCCCAGCUCAUCAUCAGUGUCACGCUCUCUGGAGGAAAGGAAACAAAAAAGGUGUUUUUUUGAGUUAGAGCGUUGUGGUGGUUGUGACAGCCUAACUUUUAUAACAGAGAAUCUAUUUCACUACAGCAAACGAGACAGCUGGAAAAAACAGAUGCGCUUUAGACUGCACAAACUAAUUUAGAAGUUAGAAGCCUAGCUUUGGCAGCCAAACUUUGCAAUGUAUAACAAACUAGAAAAUCGAACAAGAGCUUCAGUUUAACAGCCAUGUUCCGCUCUACCUGCUCAGCCUCUCUCCAAGAACUGCUGGUGUCCUCCAGUUCCUCUUCAAGAUUCUUUCGCGCUUCCUGAGAAAAUGUCUUUUCUCAGCUAAACUAAGGCCAGUGCCCAGUGCCAAUUCUUCACUUUUUGGUUUUUUUUACUCAAUUCACGUGCCAUCUAAAUCAUUAGCAAGAAAAGGAAGAUUCCUAAAGCAUGUAAGCAUUAUGUAUGCUAGAGAUGCUCUGGUUUAUCCAGCAAUUUUGUGGAAGAUAAGCUAUGUACACAGCUUGUCUUGAGCUGCUCCCACUCCAACACAAGAUGAGCCGUAACCCUGGGCCGUGCAGUUCAGCUGCCAAAGACCCAUUAUGAAUCUUCUGCCUUGCCAUGCUCCUCACCUGCAGUAUUCAUUUUAUUUUUUUUUUUUUAAGCCUGAAACAAAAGCAGAAUAUUGUAAAAGUUUUGUACGAUCUGUUGUUUGUUGCCCCGUGUCUGUGUUAUGACUGUGGACAGCUGCUUUAAAAUGAAAGAGACACUGUGCGCCUCCCAUUUUCAGGUGUCCCCAGAAGCUGCAGGUUCUCAGCCUCUCAAAAUCCGGGCUACAAUAUCUGCGUUUAUGAGAUUCAAAAUUCUCUCUGAGUUUUUAACAAAACUAGACUGUGUUUUGCUGCCAUCAGAAUCCACUGAGAUAAACAGAGAUCUGAUGAAGCACUAGGAAGUUUCCUCUUUGUGUAUAAAUAUUUAUGUAUGUAAAUGGGUGUAUGGUUAAUUAUAUCUGACAAGAAGAGACUGACAGCAACUCAGAUCCUCUGUCCCCACGGAGUGAUAGAAGUUGCUUGUUGAAGUGUCGUAGCACAUCUCAUGGGCUGUGUAUUGAAUCAUUGAUUAAAUGCUGCAGCAUCUGGGUAGCUAAAAUGCCAGGGACUGCUGAAGGAGGAGGGAGGAAUGUGCACUGAAUACCGAAUAAGAGCAGGGAAAUCAUCUGGUUUGUACUUCUUUAUAUUUCACAAACUGAUCAAGAACCAGAGCGUUUGCUUUCCCCGUGUGUCUCCCUGCAGAAUGGGCAGCCCACCUUGCUUUCACCUGCUCACAGGCAGUGUCCCUCACCCAGGAGGAGCUGGGAAAGUGUUCCAUGAGAAGACAGCACAGGCUGAAUGUAAUAUGCAUGGGUGGGGUGAAAGCAACCCUACAGCUGGCUCCUUCAAGUGUAGGCAGGCUUUAAAUCUGCUUGUGUGUUAGGAAGAAGGUGGUAUACAGCUAACGUUUUUGAAUGAGACUUGAGUAUCUUUGUUAUUUCCAUUUCCUGUUUUUCCAUUAUUCCUGAUAUCCUUGUGAGCUGGGCUUUGUGUCUGUGAGUAAACUGUUAUCUCUUAACCGUCAUAUAAUGCUAUCUGAAGGAAAAAGAAACAUUUGGAUGAAUCGUACAGCACUACGUAGAAUCACAGGUAUAUACAUUUAGAAAAAAUAAGUAUUUAAUGAAAAUAAUUUACAAGUAAAAUCAUAAAGGUGUGUAGCUGAAAAGAAUAUUCUGUGUGACAUUUUUGGGACAUGGAAGAGAGCUAUUUCUUUUUAAUAUUUCGACUUGCUUUCCUAGCAUGGCAUCACACACUGCUGUGCAUUUCUUGAAACAAUUUUUAAGUGUGCUGCAUUUUGUUUUUCUCUAUUUUUGUCAUUUUGUAAUGAAUGGCAGUGCGAUUUGUCAGAUCUGGCACGAUAUACUUUUCUCCUAACACUUAAGGUUUCUAGAAGUGUUUUAUUGUGGCUUUUGUUUCCAUAUUUUUUGUUGCUCACUCUCCCAUUUCCUUAAAAGCACUGCUCUCUCUUGCAGCCUAUAUUCAUCAUGGAUAUUAUUUUCUUUACUUCCUCCUCACUGAUUUCCCUACUUUCAGUCUCUCCUUUCUCCCCUAACCUGAAAGACCUGAAGAACAUCAUCCAGUAGCUCCACAAUUCAAGAAAUGCCAUUUGUACAUGAUUUUCUUUCCCAUUUGAGAGCAAUCCUUUCAGAGGCAGACAGCACAGAGAGACCUUCGAUGUCUGUUCCCUCUUUGUGAGCAGCAGGGCCAGAACAUGAAAACAUCACACCCAUCCACGUCAGGGAAAACACGGAGACUUGAGAAUUAGAAAGAUAGAGAUGGGAAGAGGUGGAAGGUUUGCAGCAAAGCUGUGGGAGCAGUCUCUAAGCUGCCAGAAGCCAGGGAGUGUCACCUCCAAGUGUCCUGGGUGUCUUCUGAAGAAUCCUGCUGGCAACAGACACUGGCUGUGGGGUGAACAAUCACUGCCAUGUUUGAGUAGGCUGCUGAAUCAGCCCGAGUCCAAGGGACAGGGCCUGUGGGUGCCAGCCACUCAGCAGAGGAACAUUUUGGUCGCUGUCACAUGGGCUCUGGGCUCCAGCUGUCCACAGCUCUUUCCCCAUCAGCUGAUGUGGUAGAUGUGAAGAACCUAGUAGGUCAUUUGCCUAAAGGUCACCUGUACUGAAGGUGACCUACAAACCAAGCUUGUAGCCCUUACCCCACGCACAUAUCUGCUUUAUUAUUUCUACAUGUGACAAGAGACAGACUGAACACAGAGCUUUUGAAAAAAGAAAAAAUAGAAUUAAAGACCGAAAGCUAAAAAAUGAGUUAUUGCUCUUCUGUACCCAACACCAGGUUAAUGAUCUAUGUGGUUUCAAGGGAAUCACUACGUAAGUACUGAUAAAGCACAGGAACACCUGACAAAAAAAAAUGCAGAAAAUCAUUAUGCUGCAGGCAGUUGUUCAAGCUUUGUCAAUGUUUUCUCAUAUUUCUUUUUUUCCUUCUGUGGAGCGAUGGAAAGUGAUGAUAAUGCCUUCUGCUAGGACAGGAGCACAAAGGAAUUAGUUAAAGUUUAGUUUACAAAGAUACAGAAGAAGGUGACUCACCCUUUCAAAAGGCCAGCGAUGUCUUGAGAAGAGCAUGAUCUCUGCUCCCUCAGCUGCUAGCCCUUAAUUGAGGGCCUCAGGUGCAUUGCUUGUACCUGAGCUCCCUGGGUUAGCCAUGACUUCUCACCUGGUGCUCAGGUUCAGGCUGUGGCCUAGCAAUCCCCACACACCUUUGAACCCCUUUUUCUUUCUCAAUAUUACAGUCAUUAACUAAAAAGAUGUGUUUUUUACAUAUUUUUUUACAGCACCUUUCCUCUUCUUUCUCUGCUGUUCCCCUGCAGUUAGCUUCCCUCAUGGGGAUGCAGCAUCAGAAUGCUGUCUUGCUCCAACAGAUGCCUAUAGAUGUCAGCUGGCACCUUCCGGUUGCACCAAACCUCAUAGGCCUGAAGAGUCAGUGUAACUCCAACGUUGCCCUCCUGUAAAAUUCACUCCUCAUGAAGUUAACUGGCAAUUUACAUUAAAAAUUACUUACAAACAUUGUACAGGUGAAGCUGGCUCUGUAGCCCCUUUUCCAAAACUGCUCUUCUUGCAAAAAAUAUUGCCCACUGCUUGCUUCUACAAACUGUGGCAUUGGCCUGCCUCAGUUAUGUCCUUCCCUAAAAUCUUCUGUGCUGGAUCCAGAAGUUCCUAAUACAAACUUCACCCUUGAAUGACUCCUUUGGGAACAACAAUAUUCAAGCUAAUCUCCCAUUCGUGUUAUUGCUGUUAGUGGAGGAUUUGUUGCCAUGCUUUUAUUGCCUUCUGCUCACUGAACUUUUGUACUCAUAAGAGCCUUACUUCUUUCAGCCCUCCUACAUCAAGCCAAUUGGUGACAAAAGCUUUUUCCUUUCUUUCUAGUUCUUGCCUCCAUAUCCACUUGAAUACAACCUGUCUAUUUCUAUUAUAUACCUGUCUUCUAGAGCUGAGUUUCUUCUCUCUUUAAUGUGUAGUUAUUUCAUAUGACCCACAUUCCAUUGCAAGUAGGAUUAUCUUAUAUCACUGCAUUAUGUGGCUUUAGUGACUGCAUCUAGACACAUUGUCCCAUGCAUGGUCUAUGUUGAUUGGAAUCCGUGAAAAGAAAUGCACACAAGGCAGCUUUAGUUUUCUUUUGUUGACAUUGAAGCUUCUGUUUGUAACAAUUAUUUUCGUAUACAACAAUCUUGUAGAAGCCUAUACAGUGGUUUUAGCCACAAAGCUUUAUGAAUCUUAUGCAUUUUAGGAAAUUACAUUAAAUUACUCUUAAGGAACUUCAGAAAUAAUUUUCUAGUGUAGAAUACUGUGCUAAAUUAUUUCAAAUCUUUGCUGUUAGUCCACUCCACCUUCUAGAUCUCAUAAAACUUAUUCUUCAUCACUACGUAUGAAUCCAUCACUGGAUCCAGCUAUGUAAUGUAUAAAUGAGUGCCACUAACUACCUUUCCUAAUAGGCUUAGAUAUUUUUUAGAAGAGUUGCAAAUUCAGGUAAAAUAGAUAAAAUCUUAGGCCUAUGGAAUAAAACCAUUAAGAUGAAGGUAACAGAUGGACUUGACCAAAUUCAGUGCUUUUCUGAUUGCAGAUUCUGAAUCAUAAUGCAAAAAAGGUACAAAAGGAGAGGGGCUGCCUGCUUAAAUUCACAAGUAAAGCUUUGUGAGACCCCAAGUCUUGAAAAACAGAGAACAUUUCAAUUUAGGAUUCAAGUUUACUGACAGAUUUAAGAUUUUUUAAGACAUCCUUUGUGACCUAGGAUGAGGGGUCUUACUCUCAAAAUUGUUGAUCUAGUUGUUCAUAUUGUCUGAUAGGAACAAGACGUACAACUCUGUAAGAUUUUGUCAAUUUUACAGAGCUGUCUAAAAAUGGGAGUAGAAAUCCUAACUUUAGCUAUAUGUAUUUGGAGAGUUUGGUCUAAGGUCUAUUACAGAACUAUAUAAUAUUCUCUGAACUAGAACAGCUGUCAGAAUGUCUAAAAUUGUCAUUUAUAUUUAUGGAAGAAAUAGUUGGUAACUGGUGUCACCAUCCUAGUAUCCACCACUAAAGUCAUCCAUGUGUCUUAUUAAAAAUGUAAGUAGCCAUUACAUUUAACCUGUUUUUACCAGUAAAGCAAGUGGCAAGAUAUUUUGACAGAUGUGGCACUGACUACAUUUGAUGAGAAAAAAAAAACAGAUACAGGAAGAUAGCAUUACUAACAUUUUCCCAUCAGCUGAUAUCUGUGAGAUUUAGAUCUGUGCAAAUAGAAGUCAAGCUAGAUUUCCCAAUUUUAUAUUUUAUAUUUAUCACUGCCUUUUUUAUUAUUUUUCUGAGAAUGUAUUUAUAAAACAUGCUAUAAAUUAUGUAGAAUAAGUAGAAUUUAAAUUCUCCUGUAUUGCUCCACACUUGUUUAAUGUACUGAAUAUUACAAUACAUUUACCAAAUAAGACACUUUGCAAGACCAAAAGGAUUCUGUAGUUCAGUCACGUGUGAAGUCUGUGCCUGGUUCUGCUGCUCCCAGGCUGCUGCAGACUGGGCAACAAGCAGAUUUCACACAGUAAAUGAUCUCAGCUAUUUGGUGAAACCUAUUUUUAUUGUGGUAAUAGCAUUCAAUCACUUUUCAAAACAGGGAACUAGCCCGUUUCUUCCUCACUUGAGUAGCAUUGAGAACAGUAGCAUCCUUGCAUAUUAAUGGAUGCCAGUCAACUACAGAAAAUGAAAUGUUUAUGUUUUACAAUAUUUCAGGUCAUCUGGUGUUUCGGUUUAAAUCAUUCACACUGAUGCUGGUUCUUUAAUCCCAGGAUACCCUCUGUAAGAACAGGAUCAUAAAAUAGAAAUUCCUUUCUGAUAGAUACUUGAGUCAGCACACUUCUUUUUCUUCUGCUCACAAAGUGCUCCAAAAAUUCACACAGUAAUUUAUAUAUUUGUGAGUCUAUUUGGAAAACGUUUUCAUUAUACAAAUAUCUUGUGAACAGUUUGCUGUGAAUAUUUAUUACCUAACUUUUACAUUAAUGCAGUGUUGGCUAGUCAUUCAGAGGAUGCAGUUUCUGCACCAAGAGUCUUUCAAAUCUUGCAAAUACAUUUCACAUUUAAAGUGUAACGUGAACAAUCCAAUUCAACAUAUAUUUUGCUAGUACUUAAGCUUUUGCUUAAAUUCACUUCUGUAAGUGAAAGUAAACCUAGAUUGCUUUUGAGCUCUAGUGAGCAUUAGUGGAUUUUUUCCAUUGCUCAGUCAGCUCAAGUAAUUGCAUCCUUCUGACCUAGAUUCUCCCUGCAGUUGCAGCUCAAAGCCUUCUUCACCCUGUCCUGUACAGUGUUGUGUGAAGUUCCUAUGUGCUGUGAGGUAGUCGCUACACUGCACUCCACAUGGCUUUGUUGCACUGAAAUGCAUUUAUUUCAGAUCCUCUGAUGUAAGGCCCUGAGACAGAUUUAUUUCAUGCACUUCAUAAUUACAGAAUACAAUAAACCACACUAAACUUAAGAACAUGUUGCUUAAAUUCAAGCACGGUUAUGUUCCCGCAUGGUUAAAUAAAUAGUUUUAUUUCACAAACUCAGAGAUCACCUUCUGGUUUCUUUAAAGUCAGUGAUAGACAUACUUAACACUUACUAAAGUAAACAGCACUUCAAAUUGCUGUAUUUAAGCAUUCAUGUUUGAUAAUUUUGGCUCUAGCUGUGCGUUUGCCUAAUUGUAAACACUACAUUUCUUUCAUUACCAGGUGCUGUAAGGGUUAUACUGUAGUUCAGGUGCUUUGAGAUAAUUAAGGGAAAGAAUUACAGGAGCACAAAGCAUCAUAACGUGGUUUCUCUAAAUACUGAUCACAGACAGAGGCUGCGAUAUCUAUAAUAGCAAUCAUUUUUUUGUGCUCAAUUUCUUGAAUAAACUUGAAUUGAAUCUACCGAUCAUUGGUUAACCUGUUAACAAAACAGGCCCGUUCCUGAGGAUCACAGACAGGCAAUGGGGGGUGUAUUUGGGUAUUAGGGAAGGUUUUCCACCAAAGACAUCGCUGCUCAGCAAUUAGCAGUGUCUUGGAGCUGCUCUCCAAUUGUCGGAGGAACAAAAAGGGUGAGCAGAGUAAGGCAUUUGGGAGCAGAGUACUGAAAAACAGGAGGAAUCUCAUGUUUGUGUUUUAAACAUAAGUCUGCCAUGAAAGCACAGCCAGGAGAGAGAUGGAGCCUGGGAUGUGAGGUCUGAAAACAUCUCAGGAUACAGAAAAGUGCUUUGGAACUGAGAACGUUUCCUCCCUGCUGAACACAGUCUGGAGUUAUUUACUAUUUCACACCUGAAAUUUUGUCAGCAAAUUAUCAGAGUAAAUAUUAUCUGCACUGCUGUAGAAUCACUACAAAUUUUGAAUUCCUCUACAGAACCUCUUCUUCAUCUACUGCCAUUCUCAGCUGACAUUCACUACCAUUUCUUGCCAUAGGAAAAGUAUGCUGUUUUGAUCAAAAAUCCACGUACAAAUCAGCCUGCAUCUCACACAUCUACAGAAGACCAGGAUAUCUUGCCGAGCUUUUAGUUAUUUAUUUUUGCUCACACAAAUGUGUGAUUUCCCUCCUUUUAGCUGCCCUACUAUUUAAUUCACAACCGCAGCAUCACCCUACGAGGCACUUUUUCCCCUGCAUACCACUCAGGGAUGCCCCCUGCCACAGCCUCCUCAGCCAGCCCUUGGGAGAAAGCAAGGCAGAAAAGGGACACAGAACCACAGCCCUUCAUUGCUCAUAUGGUCACACAUCACCUCCUGAUCCAGGACACGCACACCAUGGGACUGAAAGCAGACCUCGAGCCUGCCUUGCACCCCAGCAGUACCCAGAAGAGAGAGUGCAGGAGACACCACAGUUGUGUUCUUGUAACCAAAGCUUUCCGCAUGCAGGGAAAUCUAUGGCAUUUUAUGCAGUAGGUACAGAAUAAGAUGGUGGAAACUUUCACACGCACUUCUGAGCAUUUGCUCUUUGUUGUGAGUCAGGCUGUGACCUGCAGUCCUGCAUACAGCCUCCCCUCCUCAGAUAACUCUCCGCACUCUCACACUUGAAUCUGAGGGCUCUAUCCAAACUUGCUGCAGGGAUUUUAGAGUAUCCAUGAGGAAGUGACAUUUCCCUGACACUAAGCAUCAAUCUGUAGCCUUCCAUACAUCUACAAUUCGUUUUUAUAAGAUUUAUAGUCUUUUCUUUAUGGGCACUUCAUAUAACAUCACCUCAGCAGUGUUUCCAGUGCUGCCUCAAACCCAGUUCUGAGUGCCACAGUUCUGGCUUUUAGGGAGAAAUGCAAACAUGUAGUAGCUUUAUUGUUUGAUACACACCUGUGUUUCCCUUUUGUUCUAGAAAAAAAUCUUUUUGCUGUGAUUCCACUAUUACAAAUAUCAGCAUUUCCCAUCUUUUAGCUCUUCAUAUAGCAAAACUGUGGACUGGGAGCAGAAUGUGAGGGGCUGCCUGGGUUGCUUCGUCCCAGGCACCUCCUCUCAAACACUUGCCUUUGCGGGGCAGUCUGGGAACACAGUUUGAGAGAAGAACCCUCACACUCCUGGAGCAGCUAAGAAGAAACACCAGGUGCUCCCCACAGCCCCAGUGUGAGGACAAAGCAUGGCUGGGAGUGAAGGAACCAGAGGCAAAAGGAACACUUCUUGUCAUCUCACACUGUUGGAACCACUAAAUGUCAGCUGCUGCAGAGACACAGCAACAUUUGACAAGUUGCAUUCCACAUAAACAAAAUAAGCAAGAAGUGACGAGGCACUGCUAACCUCCUAACCCAACUGCUGCUCUGGUUUGGUUCUACCCAUCCUGGACCAAGCUUGGCACUGUUCCUCACAUUUCCAUUGACUAAAUGGAUGUAAGGUUUAUUAAAUUAUGAAAAGUAAUUGAGCUGAACAUGAAAUUGAACAGUUUAAGAGCUACAUGUAAUAAAAAAAUGUUAACAAUGAAAAGCAAAGGAAAAAACAGCUGCAAAAGGAAAACAGAAUUAAAAUUGAGAUAAGAUAUACUUGCCACCCAUUUGCUGCUCCUACAUACAUAGAAGCAGAACACUCUUAUUCUUGUUUCAUUCUUGUUUACACACUGCCAGCCCCACUGACAGAGGGGUGUACCUGGCAUAAGAUGAGAAAGCCCUAUAACAGUGAUAUUUUGUGGAGUUUAACUAAGACAGCAUAUGCCCCUGCAGCCUACUGCAUGAACUCCUGCCCCUUUUAACAAAAUACACAUAAGCUAUUUUAGAAUGUUCUACUGCCUGUUACUCUAUUUAGGCAGCAGGCUGGGCAGCUGCUGAAGCUUGGCCUGAUUUGCAC
This is a long non-coding RNA of Gallus gallus (chicken), 12463 nucleotides long. The record is from Ensembl. NCBI's taxonomy places the organism in Eukaryota, Metazoa, Chordata, Aves, Galliformes, Phasianidae.